Molecule: small nucleolar RNA, 75 nt
Organism: Lepidothrix coronata (blue-crowned manakin)
Lineage: Eukaryota; Metazoa; Chordata; Aves; Passeriformes; Pipridae
Source: Ensembl
AGCCACUGAUGAGAUUGAUUCUGCCAGAUGAAUUAGUAUGAUUUUACCCUUUCCGUUCCACUUUGUGCUGAGGUU